This 221-nucleotide ribosomal RNA is filed under the name uncultured bacterium. Its description in RNAcentral is "partial 16S ribosomal RNA". It matches the Rfam family "Bacterial small subunit ribosomal RNA", at positions 524 to 740 of the family's 1533-position model. The record is from RNAcentral.
UACGUAGGGUGCGAGCGUUGUCCGGAAUUAUUGGGCGUAAAGGGCUCGUAGGCGGUUUGUCGCGUCGGGAGUGAAAACCCAGGGCUUAACUCUGGGCUUGCUUUCGAUACGGGCAGACUAGAGGUAUGGCAGGGGAGAACGGAAUUCCUGGUGUAGCGGUGAAAUGCGCAGAAUAGUCGAGGAGGAACACCGGUGGCAAGGCGGAUUCUCCUGGGCGACUC